RNAcentral lists this ribosomal RNA (564 nucleotides) under Pichia kudriavzevii. RNAcentral describes it as "eukaryotic LSU rRNA". It matches the Rfam family "Eukaryotic large subunit ribosomal RNA", at positions 67 to 634 of the family's 3401-position model. Lineage: Eukaryota; Fungi; Ascomycota; Pichiomycetes; Pichiales; Pichiaceae. The record is from RNAcentral.
ACCCGUAAUAUGCCUCAGUAGCGGCGAGUGAGCGGCAGAGCUCAGAUUUGAAAUCGCAGCGGCAACGCGGCGAGUUGUAGAUUGCAGGUGGGAGAGUUUGCGGGCGGCGGGCGUCGAAGUCCCUUGGAACAGGGCGCCACUGAGGGUGAGAGCCCCGUGCGAUGCCUGCCCAUGCUUUGAACUCCCCUCUGACGAGUCGAGUUGUUUGGGAAUGCAGCUCUAAGCGGGUGGUAAAUUCCAUCUAAGGCUAAAUACUGGCGAGAGACCGAUAGCGAACAAGUACUGUGAAGGAAAGAUGAAAAGCACUUUGAAAAGAGAGUGAAACAGCACGUGAAAUUGUUGAAAGGGAAGGGUAUUGGGCCCGACAUGGGAAUCGCGCACCGCUGCUCCUCGUGGGCGGCGCUCUGCGCUUUUCCUGGGCCAGCAUCGGUUUCCGCUGCAGGAGAAGGGGCUGUGGAAUGUGGCUGGCACGCUUGCGCGCCAGUGUUAUAGCCACGGGCCAGAUGCUGCGUGUGGGGACCGAGGGCUGCGACGGCAACGUCUCGGAUGCUUCUAUUGUACUUC